UAAUUCUGUCUUGUUCUGAUUAUCCUCAGGAGAAAUACUUUGCAAUUUACAUAUCCUGAAACUAAAAUCUGCAAUAUAGUCUAAAAGGUAUCUAGAAGCAAUUUGCUGUAUAUUUCUUUUCCUUGCCUAAGACAGGAACUCUCACAGGGCAAAUUCUCCUGAGUGGAAAAGGUAAUAUCAUUGAAACUAAUGAUAUACAGCUACUUCAAUAGUUAACAAGCAUGUAUGAGAUAUUCAUUGUUUAUAUUGUUGAACCUUUAGGACAAGUAAUCAAAGCAGGACUAUAAGGACAAAUGAAAUCAGUGAAAACAGUGCAAAGGAAGUAUGGGAUUAUCAUUAAUAUAAACUCACCAAGCAGACGAAUUCUAAGGGGAGAACAUAACAAUGCAAUUGCAAAAUUCACGUGCAAAGAUGACUACCUGGUGCUUUGCCUCUCUUUUUUUUAGUGAUUUCAGAAUGUCCAAAUGCCUCCUAAAUGUCAGGAAAUACCUCCUAAACAGAAGGCAAUGUUUGAGUGGCGCCUUUCAUAAAAAGUCAUAUUAUUAUAACCUGAAUGGAUAUGGGAUAUGUUUCUACUCAAAUUUCAGGUAGAGGUACUCACCAUUGUAGAAGGAUUACUAUUGCUAGUUCUUUGACUACUUAAAUGAAUUAAAUGUACAUAAAACACCAGGAUAGCAUAGCACCUAGCACAUAAUUGGAGCUUGUGAAAUAGCAGUUCCUGUUUUCCAUUUUAACAAUUUUACUUUUUUUCUCCCAGGAUUUGGAUGUAGCUUUGCCCAUUAUCAAGAAUUAUAAGGAUCAAUUGUUGGCAAUUGGAGAGGUUGGACUAGAUUUCUCCCUGAGAUUUGCUGGCACUGAUGAACAGAGGGAAGAGCAAAGA
Molecule: long non-coding RNA, 880 nt
Organism: Sapajus apella (tufted capuchin)
Lineage: Eukaryota; Metazoa; Chordata; Mammalia; Primates; Cebidae
Exons: 2
Source: RefSeq, a predicted model, not a curated record